GGAAAAGCUGGCGGACAGAGAGGGAAGUUCAGAAGUCUGUUAAGGGAAAACAAACCACAGAGGUCGGACGAAAGGAAAUGAAGAGGAUGAAAGUGGAUGAAGAACCCUGGAGGGUUGGAGAGAAUGGAGAAGGGAAAGGGAACUAUUUGGCACACUGGGGUCCUGAUUGCGUAAACAAGCUGUGGUCCCUUUCUCCACAUCUUUAUUGGCUCUACAGAUCUGAGACCAUCUCAUUUCCCUGUAUUUGUGUAACCCUUGACCCCUCCAGUGUGUUUACGCAUCACCCCAGAAUGUGUUUAUCAUCAGCACUGGGAGGUCGUGACGAUUCCGAGCUCAUACAGUUUAGCUUCCUGUUGGCCAUCACUGCUCGUUGGAAUAAAAACUGCUGCCCCCGGAUGUGGACCAUCACCUUACCCGACUCAAAAAUGGGUUCUGUGACUCUUUUGUUUCGUGACUCUUUUGUUUCGUGACUCUUUCAGGCCUGACCUCUGACCUUUUCCUGGUGCCGUCCUCACCCACGUCUGUACCCAUGGAGGAGACGAUUGAUACCGCUCUCAUGUGUGUCGGGGAAACAGUCCCCGGUUAGCUUAGCUUAGCAGGAAGACAAGAAAACAAGGGGGAAAAACAAUCCGUAUUCAUUUCCAGCUGAAGGCGGGAGAGGCCCGUGUGCCACCGCGCACUCUAAAGUGCAACCGUCCCAUCCUGGACCUGCCAGAAAAGAUCUGCCGCGAUCCGAUUCAGGACGUCAGCUCUUCUGUUGGUCACCUGUCCUCGGUGGUCCGAUGCGCGAGGGAGACCGGACCAUUGUGUCGGGUCACAAGGAGCCGGUUAGUGAGGACACGCACAAGGUCAUGGAGGAGGCUUUGUCAAGGGCCGGUGUGCAGCGCAUCAUCCUUUGCCACGAGGCGGGACUCAUCAUCCCAUCGCUGCAGGAGUCAAUGAGCCAGUUGACCCGUCACGGUUGAAUUUCUUCAGCUGCCUCAGGAAGAAAAGCCCCUGCUGAGCCGUCUUGGUGAUGGAGCCCAGAUGCAAAUACAAAUACAUUUCAAGGGAAACUCAUUCAUAUAUUCAAUUCUAAAUUGUCUUAUUUGAGGAAAUUGCACUUUCUUGUUUCCUGUUCUCCUGAGUUUGUACCCCUAUGGUUGAAUGCACUUAUUGUAAGUCGCUUUGGAUAAAGGCGUCUGCUAAAUGACAUGUAAUGUAAUGUAUUUGUUUUGGCUUGUUUUUCUCGUACCACAAACAUGUUCCAACCUAAUAAAACACUUUUAGUGUUUUAUUUCAAUAUACAGUGUUAAGCACCGUCUUCAAACUGUUUAAAACUUCCAGGCCGGGACAAGAUCACCGCCCUGUAGUUUGAAAAGCGCUUUUCUUUCUUUCUCGGCCACUCAAAGCACGUUUACACUGCAUUUUACAGUGUAAUUCACAAAGCAGACUAACAAAGUACAGGGGAAAGGUGAUUAGUGCGGGGCAAACAAUCAAUGAAAAGGGGGGGAAAAAACAUGACGCCUAGCGUUAACUUUCAAAAUAAUACACAGAUAAACACAAUACAAACACUGGAGACCAUUAAGAUUCAUUAAGUUUCAUUCACCUACCAAAAUACAGGUUACUUCUCUUUUGCUCCUUCAGAAUAAAGCUCUGCGAGGGUUUCCUGUGUGACCAUCGGAGUGCUCUGCUCGUCCUUUACUUCUACUCCCUGGAUGCACGACAAACACACACACACACACACACAGAAAAAACACACACAAGAGUGAUCUACAGCCAGACAGGAAGCCGCCCCCCCCUCCUCUGUUUCCAGUUUCCAGCAUGGAUGGAUGUGUGUGUGUGUGUGUGUGUGUGUGUGUGUGUGUGUGUGUGUGUGUGUGUGUCCAUGCUCGCUCUGUGCAGGCAAUCGGCUGGAGGCAGACUGAGCGACGCUGGAAGAGAAUGACACACACACAGGAGAAGAUAGUGGAGCUCGGCAUCCUGACUGGAACUACCAGGUGAAACCUCUUACCAAGCGGCCCUGGAAGCCACCAGCUGAUUGGAGCAAAAGGGGAAUGAAAGGCCGUGGAAGCCAGGAUGAGCCGGAUGAGCUGGGAGUAGCUGGAGGCGUGCAACUUGCAGAGUGUGUUCGAGUGUCUGCGUUUGCCGGGUUGUGCUGGUACUUGUUUGUGGUGGCGUUUUUGUUUCUGCUGUUGGACAGUAUGAUUUUGAGUUUGAACCUGAUGUGGAUGUUUAUUUAUUAUGAAAUAAAUCCCUCUUUUGGUUAAAAAUUCCUUCUUUUAUAGUUUAUUUUCCAUUUGUUACUCCCCGACUCCCCUAGACAUCCGUCGAGGGACAUAACAGCAACCGAACCUCGACGAAAGUUGCGUCCUAUUGUCGACAAACUGCUCCUGUCUGCUGUUGUUGUUGUUGUUGUCAGACAGCUGCAGCUGGUUUUACGGGGGAUCGUAAACGCGCUGAGACGUGCCUCCUCACUCCUCCCUCCUCCCUCCUCCCGCUGGUACGAGGUUUCCUCCCAGAGCUUCAACGUGUGGUUUUACCUGCACGUGAAAACUGCGUAGAAGUAUUUUCAGAUGCAUCAGCGGAACAGGGAGAAGCCUCGGCCUCGUGGGCUUUAUUCUGAACCAGGAUGAGCAGAAGAAAUGACCCCAUGUGAGACGUUUGCAAGGCGCAAACCCAAAGAAGUAGCAGCUGCACCCCCCCAACACCACCACCCCACCACCUCCUGCUCCGGACUGUGUGUGUGUAACCAGACUUGUGUAGUAAAGAUGAAAGCUCGGCACACAGUCGUCCAAACAGAGGCUACUUUCCAUUGCAUUUGCAUCCUCAGAUUUUCAUUGAUUUGCUUAAGGACCCGGCGGCAGCCGAGCACGCGGGACACACAAACGGCAAACUUUUUCAUUGUUCCUGUUUUAUGAUCAGGUAUAUCAAGAAUCAAACCGGUUCUGUGAAAUAAAUGAUUUUAUUCGUUAUAUUCCA
Gasterosteus aculeatus aculeatus (three-spined stickleback) is the source of this 2961-nucleotide long non-coding RNA. The record is from Ensembl. NCBI's taxonomy places the organism in Eukaryota, Metazoa, Chordata, Actinopteri, Perciformes, Gasterosteidae.